RNAcentral lists this RNase P RNA (348 nucleotides) under Bacillota bacterium. Its description in RNAcentral is "RNase P RNA component class A". It matches the Rfam family "Bacterial RNase P class A". From Rfam's summary of the family: Ribonuclease P (RNase P) is a ubiquitous endoribonuclease, found in archaea, bacteria and eukarya as well as chloroplasts and mitochondria. Its best characterised activity is the generation of mature 5'-ends of tRNAs by cleaving the 5'-leader elements of precursor-tRNAs. Cellular RNase Ps are ribonucleoproteins. Lineage: Bacteria; Bacillati; Bacillota. The record is from RNAcentral.
CGACCAGAUUAGACAGCCGCGCGCAGCGCCCGAAAGGGUCUGUGUGAGGAAAGUCCGGGCUCCACAGGGCAAGGAUAACGGGUAACGCCCGCCGGGGGUGACCCCAGGACAAGUGCAACAGAAAGAUACCGCCCGGCGCAGGCCGGGUAAGGGUGAAAAGGUGCGGUAAGAGCGCACCCAGCCUAUGGAGACAUAGGUUUUAUGCUGUAAACUCUAUCCGGAGCAACACCGUGGAGGGACAUUCGGCCGGCCCGGCCGUCCCGAGGAGGUGGCUGGAACCUGUCGGCAACGGCAGGUCUAGAUAGAUGGCUGUUCAAACAGAACCCGGCUUACAGAUCCGGUCACACA